Molecule: small RNA, 3612 nt
Filed under: Histoplasma capsulatum
Lineage: Eukaryota; Fungi; Ascomycota; Eurotiomycetes; Onygenales; Ajellomycetaceae
Also listed under: 1 other name
Description: hypothetical RNA
Source: RNAcentral
CAUCAUCAGUAGAGGUUUACAUAGCCAUGUAAAUUUCAAAACUAGAGCUCCGCAAUACGCGGCAUGCUGAGGGUUAUCCGUCCUUACACCACUUUUAUUUGUGUGUUGUUUUGUGAGAAAUGGGUUUCCUUCCGUUCCCGGCUCUGGAGACCAAUUUCUACGUCGUCCUUUUUCCCAAAUUAACUUUUAUGGCUGGGCUUAUUUUCCUGUGGGCUUUAGCUGUGGAGGAGGCGUGACAUAUCAUGGCCAUUCUCUGUUGUUUAUCAUGGCCGGUAUUGGUACCACGCUUGUGUCCGUCGGGCUAGGAUUUUGCAUUGUAAUUUCCGUAUGCUGUGUAAAAACAUAAGGGAGAACGGCAUGCUAUUUUAUCCCGAGUAAUUCGUAUUGGAUUAUUCCUAUCACUUUUAUGCCUCGUAAAAUUCAGCUGCAUCUUGCAAACUCACAUCGUCUCCGUCCCCCGAGUGCUGGACAGAUGCUCCAUGAAUCCACUUGAGGAUACAGUUUUCCAAUCAAUUAACUUGUUUCCUCCCAAAAAAAAAAAAAUCAGAAACCUACGCCCUUCACAAAACCCCUCAAUUAAUUCAGCCAGCGGCCAUGAAAUGCGCGCCUAAAUGAUUUCCUAUCGUCAUAUCCACGUAUGUCAUUAUCUAAAAAUAUUCAAACACAAACUACCGCUGCGUCAACCGUCCUUUUAUACUACUUCAAGCCUUCUUCGCCCGUCCAGUCUGAAUGAUCUCCCCGGUAUGUUUAUCAUCUUUUCGCAGGACCGGCCAACUCGUCCCGUCCGCCUUCGCUAGGUUCAAAUCCAUCUUCGUGCCCAUGAUCUGGAAACUGGACUUCUCUGUAUCGAUUGGUGCGUAGAGGAUGAGGGUUUCCUUGAAGCGCUUGUUAUCAGAGGUCGGGAGAUCCAAUUCUAUUGUAGUAGGCGAGGUGAAGUUGACUUUCGCAUUGGCUUUGUCGAUCUUCUUGAGGUAGAGGGUGGCCAUGAUGGAGGUAGCGGUUUGGUAGAAAUCGGUCCGAAUAUUGUCAACCUUCUCCUCCGUCUUCUUCGCCUUCCCAAUAAACAAAUGCCUCGACCUUUGCUUACAGCCAGCUAUCUUCAUAAAUUCAUCGAAUUCUAACACUCUGCGCUUGCAACAGCUCCAGCCCUUGCUCCCCUCAUGAAAAAUAGGCAGACCCGGAUGAUGUUCGCAUUUCUCGUCAUCCCUUGGAACGGAAGGUGAAUAUUUACCAUUGCAGCCUCUUCGACGACAUGCCGCACCAGCCUCAAUCGCAAGGGAUGGGUCAUCGGAUUCUGAUUCUGGAGGAGGAGACGUUGAAGGUUUGGGGGUAUGCGCACCUGCCGCGGAGAGAGUGGUUGGAGUGUUUCCGAUGGCAAUCGGAAUAUGUUUCGGAGUAGUGUCGGGUGCUAUCUCGGGGGCAUCAUUUUUAGGCUCUGGAGCUGGAGCGUUAUCGACUGUUGAAUGUUUCCCCGUCGUGCACGGUGGGAUGGCCAGGAAUUCGUCGAAACUGAGAACGCGAGGUUUACAACAUUUCCAUCCUUUGUGCCCUUCGUGAAAUUCAGGCGGCCCAGGAUGAUAGACGCACACUUCGUCAGGGUCCGUAAACACCUUACCGCAGCCCUUGUGGACACAUUUUUGCGCCAUAUUUUAGGUAGCGUUUUAUGAUCCAGUAAACAGAUCCCUCAAUCGUUAUAAGAGCCGGUUGAUGACCUGUAGCCGUUUGGCUUGCAGAUUGGAACCAUUGGUGGGAUGUUAAGUGCUUCUGGAAUUAUUUAACUACGACAUCACGAAGCUUAUGCCAGCGCUAGCUCCCCAAAACCAUCGAAGCUUCUGGAGCCCCAGACAAUGAAAUAUGGACAACACCAAAGCAGACAACGAUAUUUCCCAAGUUGAUCUUGAAAAUUAAGGCUCACAGGGGCUACCUAAACACGACACGAUGCGCACUUCAAUCCGGCUAUUCCAAAAUGCCCAACUCACCCUCUUCACACGCGUCCAUUGCUCUCUAUGCGAUACGGCAAAAAACACCAUAGCAAAGCUACGAGAAAGGAAGCCAUUCACAUAUUCAGAAAUUGAUGUUAUGACCCCACAAAACAAACGGUGGAAGGACGUUUACGAGUUUGACGUACCUGUGCUGCACGUUCAGCGAGUCCUUUCUACAUCCAAUGACGGAGGCGAAACUCUAUCAGAUCCAAAAAAGUUAUUUCACCGAUUUACGGAGCAGGAAGUUGAGAAGGCAAUAAAGGAGGUAGAAUAAUUGAUAUAAAAAUUACGAAUAUGUGUGAUUAUGUUGCUAUCAUCAAAUAUUAAAGUGCAUGUCUACCAUAUCUCGCGCAAGGGACAUUUGACCUCCUUAUAAGCCCGCCCGAGCAGUAUUUAGCGAGUUCGACAGAUGGGCAGGAAGAGCAGCGACGUCGGAAAUCACAGAUAUCUGCAUAUAAACGUCAGCAUCCAAUGCAAGAGGCCGAAAAGGAUAAAGAAAUUUUUGAAUAUAAAAGCCCCGUCCUACCAUGUGAAACCCUUGCUCUGCGUACUUGCUUGCGGAAUCGCCAUCUGCGCUGUAAAUUCCAGCCUUCUUACCGUUGUCGACGGCUGCCUUGCGAAUUCUUUCAAUUGCAGCCACCAAGUCAGGAUGGAAAUCACCCAUAACAGGCCGACUAAUAUUGUUUCCCAGGUCCCACGGACCAACCAACAACACGUCUACUCCUGGAACUUUGGCGAUUUCCUCAACCUAUCCGUUGCACUCGAAUUACCCUAGUCAGCUUGCCAGGCGUUUAAAUACCGUCAAAGGAUGAUUUAGUGAUUGAUUAAAAAAAUAUCUGCAAACUUCACAUUUUCAAAAGCCUCCUUGGUUUCUAUUUGAACAAUUGUAACCAAGGCCUCAUUUGCCUGAAGCAAAUAGUCCGUUUGAGUAAGAUUCCCAAAUGAGCCCAUGGAAAAUGGGCUUCCAAACCCUCUUCUGCCCAAGGGAGGAAACUUGGCCGAUUCCACUAGUUUCCUUGCAUCGUCUACGGUGUGGAGGAGAGGGACAAGAAUUCCGUGGGCUCCUGCGUCCAAGGCACCUAUUCUUGGAAUUAACAAUCACACCACCUGCGUGCGAUCUGGGUGAUAAGUGAAUCCUUCUAGAAAAGGGAUACAUACGCUUAACCAUCCACGACUCGUUAGCAGCAAUUCGCACGACGGGACUGACACCCGUAGCGGCAAUUGCAGCCACGGCUUCGUGCAUUUGGUCAUCUAGAAUCAACAAUAGUUAAUAAUUUGCACAAUAUAUAUAUAACUGAGGAGCUCGUGCCAGGCUAGAGGCUUCCCCCCUUGCCAAUUCGUAGCAGUACGGGGUUACGUAUAUCAGAGAACAAAAUCAAUCCGCCGUUUUCACUGCUUCAUUAUUUACCUGCAAUGUUUCCGUGCUCCGUGUCGACACAGAUCCAAUCAAAGCCGCUCCUGGCCAUGAUCCGUGAAUGGUUGGCGCCUGGAAGCAUUUGCCAUGCGCCAAACGACACGCCUUUGCCUGUUUGAAGCGCAGUCCGGAGGCGAUUGGCAGCUUGCAUUGUUGGUUAUGAAGAUGAUUAUUCUGUAUAAUACUAGAAUCGAAGUAAAUGUGAUUUAAUUGGCA